Podarcis lilfordi (Lilford's wall lizard) is the source of this 2683-nucleotide non-coding RNA. Lineage: Eukaryota; Metazoa; Chordata; Lepidosauria; Squamata; Lacertidae. The record is from the annotation of a GenBank genome assembly.
CAUGCAGCUGCGCCUUUGAAGAAGCAAGUAGCUGUUCGGUUUAAAAUACAGAUUGCCUCUUCAAAAGCUUCUUCUUGUCUACGCACAAGGUACAUGUGAUUUUUCCACAGGGUAGAGAUAUACGAGGAGGAAAUUGCGUCUGGUGUGGUGGCUGCCGAGGUAUUUUUUUAAAAACCGUUAUGGAUUUUGGAAUUCAUGAACAACAAUUUAAACCAGUGUGGCUUUAGAGAAAGGUGUUUUCACAUUGUUCCUUGUAACCUGAAUCAAUAUGCUAGUUUGGGGACAUUUAACCAGAUGUUGACUUGAUGAUCUGUGACUGCACUGAGUGAGCAAUAGAACAAUUCCUUGCUGAUACUAAGCAAAAGAGAAAUUCCUCUGGAAGCAUCUGGCAAGUUGUGAGAAGGUUACAUAACAGAAAACUGCCUCAGGUCAUACAUACUGAAUUUCUAUUUCAUUACAUAAAAAGCAAAGGAUCAUCCUACACCGUGAUUUGCAGGUCCUUCUGGGCCAUUGUCCUUGUUUGGAAACAUUUAGGUCUCUCUUCUACUUCUUAUUUUUUUAAAGCAUGUUUGAGGGAGUCUGAGGUUUGCGUCUCAGAAAGUCAUGAGCACAAUAAAAAUGCUUUAUAGUUUUCAGCAGGCACUGGGCUACCUUCAGCCAUGAUCUGUUUUAAGCCACAGGAAAACAGCUCGGAAAGAGAUGAUGUGCCUCGUAAAAUAAUUUUAGGAGUCCUGAUUUUGCUGUAUCUCCUCCAGUUGACAUAGGUCUGUGCUUAACUCUGCCUCUGAAAUCCAAAUACAUUCGGAUUGCCAUAUGUCUGCAAUUUUCUGAACGUACCCGGAAUACCGCAGUCAGAUGCAGUGUCCGAGCGGAAAUCGGCAAAAUGUCCAAGAAAAUCUGAACAUAGGGCAACCUAUGUUGGCAAUGUAGUUUCUGCCGAUUUCCCUUAAGAAUACAGUGGUACCUCGGGUUACAUACGCUUCAGGUUACAUAUGCUUCAGGUUACAGACUCCGCUAACCCAGAAAUAGUGCUUCAGGUUAAGAACUUUGCUUCAGGAUAAGAACAGAAAUUGGGCUCCAGCAGCGCGGCGGCAGCAGGAGGCCCCAUUAGCUAAAGUGGUGCUUCAGGUUAAGAACAGUUUCAGGUUAAGAACGGACCUCCGGAACAAAUUAAGUACUUAACCCGAGGUACCACUGUAGCUCAAGAAGUCAGUUUUUUUUGUGAUUUUGCCAAAAAAAACUCAACAAAAAACCCUUUUCACUUUUGGAAAUAUGGCAACCCCAAAAUAUAUAGAUUUUUCUUAUUAGUCAUAGGCACGUGAUUUUUAUAAGGCUGAAAUACGCACACCACCAUUUUAAUAAGAAAUUACAUGCCCUGUUUGCUUAAGAUCUGGCUUAAUCUGCUUCUUCUUUAAGAACAGAACAACAAAAGGCUCAGAGCAUAUUGCAAAUACCGUACUUUAGCUUUGUUCUAUACACAAGCUCUCCAGUGGCAAAGUAGAGAGAAAAACUAAGCAACUAAGAAGAUGUGCUAACUAGGCUAUAAGGAAUUUUUCCUCUUCCAGUACCAUGUGGAUCUCAAGGGGCUCUGAGCAGAAACAGGCAAAACAAGACAAGCAUUAUGUUAGCAACAAGAACAACAAAAAUGAACUAAGCUUGGAAAAUUGUGUCCUCCCUAAAAGAGGGCACGUGUUGCAGUGAGACCUGGAGACUGACCUCCCAGUUGUGGGUGGGUUUAUUGGACAGUCACAACACCCGAUUGGUAGGUCCCUCGUUGCUGGGUUUAAUAUGGCCAAUGGGGUGCAGUCUAAACGGAUUGAGGGACCUAUAUAUACUUUUGCAUGUGACCCUCUUUUGGCUCGUGCAUCGGAACACCCGCCCACCUCUCCCUACUUUCAGGGCUUGUUGUGAUUGACCUUGCUAUGCUGUUGUGUGUUGUCUGUCGCUGAGACAGGGGCACAGCAGGAAUUUUCCCCACUUGGCUGAUUGGCUGUUGCCAUUUGGGUUUCGCCUGCCGCAUACCAAACCGUCACAACUUGUAAGGUUGCGGAUAGGCACUGGUUCAUGUGAUAGGGAUGGGAAAAUGGACUCACCUUCCCUAUGUGAAGGGUAUUCUGUUAAAGGAAUCCAGGGACUCGACCUAGUUUGGCCAACCCCUGAAAGGGGGUUGUGCCCAUGCCUGAAUCCAGGGGAGCAUCUGGGGAGUGAACAGAGUCUGUUCCUGGGCUUUUCACCUACCUCAGGUAUUCAUGCUUGGCUGACCUAUGCUGGUGCCCUGGGUCAGCGCUACCUGCAAAGGUGCAGGGAGCUAGUCGAACCAGAGCCUAUGCAACCACUCACUUUUCUGUAAUCAAUAAAGUUGUAGCCUAAAUUCUGCCAAAAACCAAAACUAAAAUUUGAGUCAAAUGUGUCUUUAUUUAGGGGGGAGGUCUCUGGGUCUGAACAUGCAAAAACAGAGAGAACUGAUUCAGGGGAAAACCAGCUUCCAGUAUUUUAAAAUAAGCUCUCUUGCUCUCUCUCUCUCUCUCUCUCUCUCUCUCUCUGAAGGAUCUCAGCUUAAAAGGUAUCAUUUUCAACAAGGGAUGGAAGAAUUCUUCUAUUUCCAAGUCGGUUUUCCACCCAGCCAGUCGGGGGGUUACAUUUCCUGUUCUUGUCUUGGUGUCGCUGCAGUCUUGACCACCCC